RNAcentral lists this microRNA precursor (196 nucleotides) under Oryza glumipatula. RNAcentral describes it as "MIR812 microRNA precursor family". It matches the Rfam family "MIR812 microRNA precursor family". The record is from Rfam by way of RNAcentral. Lineage: Eukaryota; Viridiplantae; Streptophyta; Magnoliopsida; Poales; Poaceae.
CUUAUUUGAAACCCUGGGUUUUCAUGUCCAGUUUGUCCAUCUGUCUUAUUUAAAAAACAUAUGAAAAAAAUUAAAAAGAUGAGUCACGCAUAAAGUAUUAAUCAUGUUUUAUCAUCUAACAACAAUGAAAAUACUAAUUAUAAAAAAAUUUCAUAUAAGACGGACAGUCAAACGUUGGACACGGAAAUCCAGGGUU